UACGUAGGGUGCGAGCGUUAAUCGGAAUUACUGGGCGUAAAGCGUGCGCAGGCGGCGCGUUAAGACAGGUGUGAAAGCCCCGAGCUUAACUUGGGAAUUGCGCUUGUGACUGGCGUGCUGGAGUGUGGCAGAGGGAGGUGGAAUUCCACGUGUAGCAGUGAAAUGCGUAGAGAUGUGGAGGAACACCGAUGGCGAAGGCAGCCUCCUGGGUCAAGAUUGACGCUCAUGCACGAAAGCGUGGGGAGCAAACAGG
RNAcentral lists this ribosomal RNA (253 nucleotides) under uncultured bacterium. RNAcentral's name for it is "partial 16S ribosomal RNA". It matches the Rfam family "Bacterial small subunit ribosomal RNA", at positions 524 to 776 of the family's 1533-position model. The record is from RNAcentral.